AUACGUAGGUGGCAAGCGUUGUCCGGAUUUAUUGGGCGUAAAGCGAGCGCAGGCGGUUUCUUAAGUCUGAUGUGAAAGCCCCCGGAUCCACCGGGGAGGGUCAUUGGAAACUGGGAGCCUUGAGUGACGCAGAGGGGAGUGGGAUUCCAUGUGUAGCGGGGAAAUGCGUAGAUAUAUGGAGGAACACCAGUGGCGAAGGCGACUCUCUGGUCUGUAACUGACGCUGAGGCUCGAAAGCGUGGGGAGCAAACAGGAUUAGAUACCCUGGUAGUCCACGCCGUAAACGAUGAGUGCUAAGUGUUGGAGGGUUUCCGCCCUUCAGUGCUGCAGCUAACGCAUUAAGCACUCCGCCUGGGGAGUACGACCGCAAAGUUGAAACUCAAAGGAAUUGACGGGG
RNAcentral lists this ribosomal RNA (397 nucleotides) under uncultured bacterium. Its description in RNAcentral is "partial 16S ribosomal RNA". It matches the Rfam family "Bacterial small subunit ribosomal RNA", at positions 523 to 918 of the family's 1533-position model. The record is from RNAcentral.